GAUUACUUCGAUGUUGGCGGGUCACCGUGUUCAACCGGAUGGACUGCGUACACACCCCGAUAAGAAACAAGUUAUGGUUGCCGUGUCCAUUUGCCGAGAAUCGCCUAAGCAUCAUUGGGAUAUGUUUGCAGGCUGAUGGUGCGACGGACAUACAACCAUCCGAACAAAGGAAUGGCUA
Molecule: long non-coding RNA, 178 nt
Organism: Patiria miniata (bat star)
Lineage: Eukaryota; Metazoa; Echinodermata; Asteroidea; Valvatida; Asterinidae
Exons: 2
Source: RefSeq, a predicted model, not a curated record